CCUACGGGAGGCAGCAGUGGGGAAUAUUGCGCAAUGGGCGAAAGCCUGACGCAGCGACGCCGCGUGAGGGAUGAAGGUCUUCGGAUCGUAAACCUCUGUCAGCAGGGAAGAACGGUCACUGUGCUAAUCAGCAGUGAAUUGACGGUACCUGCAAAGGAAGCACCGGCUAACUCCGUGCCAGCAGCCGCGGUAAUACGGAGGGUGCGAGCGUUAAUCGGAAUUACUGGGCGUAAAGCGCUCGUAGGCGGUAUGUCAAGUCACGGGUGAAAUCCCGGCGCUCAACGUGGGAACUGCCUUUGAAACUGGCAGACUGGAGUGUGUGAGAGGAUAGUGGAAUUCCAGGUGUAGGGGUGAAAUCCGUAGAUAUCUGGAGGAACAUCAGUGGCGAAGGCGACUAUCUGGCACAUAACUGACGCUGAGGAGCGAAAGCGUGGGUAGCAAACAGGAUUAGAUACCCGUGUAGUC
RNAcentral lists this ribosomal RNA (465 nucleotides) under uncultured bacterium. RNAcentral's name for it is "partial 16S ribosomal RNA". It matches the Rfam family "Bacterial small subunit ribosomal RNA", at positions 338 to 795 of the family's 1533-position model. The record is from RNAcentral.